RNAcentral lists this ribosomal RNA (853 nucleotides) under uncultured Bacillota bacterium. RNAcentral's name for it is "bacterial SSU rRNA". It matches the Rfam family "Bacterial small subunit ribosomal RNA", at positions 1 to 852 of the family's 1533-position model. The record is from RNAcentral. Lineage: Bacteria; Bacillati; Bacillota.
UGAUCCAGACUUUGCUUCUGGCUCAGGAUGAACGCUGGCGGCGUGCUUAACACAUGCAAGUCGAACGAAGCAUUUAAGACAGAUUUUUUCGGAAUGAAGUUUUCUAUGACUGAGUGGCGGACGGGUGAGUAACGCGUGGGUAACCUGCCUCACACAGGGGGAUAGCAGUUGGAAACGACUGGUAAUACCGCAUAAGCGCACAGCUUCGCAUGAAGCGGUGUGAAAAACUCCGGUGGUGUGAGAUGGACCCGCGUCUGAUUAGGUAGUUGGUGAGGUAACGGCCCACCAAGCCGACGAUCAGUAGCCGACCUGAGAGGGUGACCGGCCACAUUGGGACUGAGACACGGCCCAGACUCCUACGGGAGGCAGCAGUGGGGAAUAUUGCACAAUGGAGGAAACUCUGAUGCAGCGACGCCGCGUGAGUGAAGAAGUAUUUCGGUAUGUAAAGCUCUAUCAGCAGGGAAGACAGUGACGGUACCUGACUAAGAAGCUCCGGCUAAAUACGUGCCAGCAGCCGCGGUAAUACGUAUGGAGCAAGCGUUAUCCGGAUUUACUGGGUGUAAAGGGAGUGUAGGUGGUAUCACAAGUCAGAAGUGAAAGCCCGGGGCUCAACCCCGGGACUGCUUUUGAAACUGUGGAACUGGAGUGCAGGAGAGGUAAGUGGAAUUCCUAGUGUAGCGGUGAAAUGCGUAGAUAUUAGGAGGAACACCAGUGGCGAAGGCGGCUUACUGGACUGUAACUGACACUGAGGCUCGAAAGCGUGGGGAGCAAACAGGAUUAGAUACCCUGGUGGUCCACGCCGUAAACGAUGAAUACUAGGUGUCGGGGCUCAUAAGAGCUUCGGUGCCGCUAG